GAGUUUGAUCCUGGCUCAGGACGAACGCUGGCGGCGUGCCUAAUACAUGCAAGUCGAGCGGAGUUGAUGAGGUGCUUGCACCUCUGAUGCUUAGCGGCGGACGGGUGAGUAACACGUAGGUAACCUGCCUGUAAGACUGGGAUAACUACCGGAAACGGUAGCUAAUACCGGAUAAUUUAUUUUCUCUCCUGGGGAGAUAAUGAAAGACGGAGCAAUCUGUCACUUACAGAUGGGCCUGCGGCGCAUUAGCUAGUUGGUGAGGUAACGGCUCACCAAGGCGACGAUGCGUAGCCGACCUGAGAGGGUGAACGGCCACACUGGGACUGAGACACGGCCCAGACUCCGUACGGGAGGCAGCAGUAGGGAAUCUUCCGGCAAUGGACGAAAGUCUGACGGAGCAACGCCGCGUGAGUGAUGAAGGUUUUCGGAUCGUAAAGCUACUGUUGCCAGGGAA
Molecule: ribosomal RNA, 454 nt
Filed under: bacterium enrichment culture clone ALO1_GLFRUDD03GDZIZ
Lineage: Bacteria
Description: bacterial SSU rRNA
Rfam family: Bacterial small subunit ribosomal RNA
Source: RNAcentral